RNAcentral lists this ribosomal RNA (497 nucleotides) under uncultured bacterium. RNAcentral describes it as "partial 16S ribosomal RNA". It matches the Rfam family "Bacterial small subunit ribosomal RNA", at positions 28 to 507 of the family's 1533-position model. The record is from RNAcentral.
GAUGAACGCUGGCGGCGUGCCUAAUACAUGCAAGUCGAGCGAACAGACGAGGAGCUUGCUCCUCUGACGUUAGCGGCGGACGGGUGAGUAACACGUGGAUAACCUACCUAUAAGACUGGGAUAACUUCGGGAAACCGGAGCUAAUACCGGAUAAUAUAUUGAACCGCAUGGUUCAAUAGUGAAAGACGGUUUUGCUGUCACUUAUAGAUGGUUCCGCGCCGCAUUAGCUAGUUGGUAAGGUAACGGCUUACCAAGGCGACGAUGCGUAGCCGACCUGAGAGGGUGAUCGGCCACACUGGAACUGAGACACGGUCCAGACUCCUACGGGAGGCAGCAGUAGGGAAUCUUCCGCAAUGGGCGAAAGCUUGACGGAGCAACGCCGCGUGAGUGAUGAAGGUCUUCGGAUCGUAAAACUCUGUUAUUAGGGAAGAACAAAUGUGUAAGUAACUAUGCACGUCUUGACGGUACCUAAUCAGAAAGCCACGGCUAACUACGUG